UACGGAGGGUGCGAGCGUUAAUCGGAAUUACUGGGCGUAAAGCGCAUGCAGGUGGUUUGUUAAGUCAGAUGUGAAAGCCCGGGGCUCAACCUCGGAAUUGCAUUUGAAACUGGCAGACUAGAGUACUGUAGAGGGGGGUAGAAUUUCAGGUGUAGCGGUGAAAUGCGUAGAUAUCUGGAGGAACAUCAGUGGCGAAGGCGGCCCCCUGGACAGAUACUGACACUCAGAUGCGAAGGCAUGGGUAGCAAACGGG
This 253-nucleotide ribosomal RNA is filed under the name uncultured bacterium. Its description in RNAcentral is "partial 16S ribosomal RNA". It matches the Rfam family "Bacterial small subunit ribosomal RNA", at positions 524 to 776 of the family's 1533-position model. The record is from RNAcentral.